GGGGAUGUUACGGAUUCGACGGGGGCAUUUGAGCUUAAUAAGCAAGCCGUGUUCGUCCACGUUAAAAGAUCGAGGAUUUAAUAAUUGGAAACACAAACUAUUCUUUAGCGGCUUAAUAUAAACCGUUGCCUAAUUACCCUAUCGCCCAUGUAGCGUAGUUGGGCUCACUUCAGUGGGAUACGACAGAAUGCGCCGUUUGAGCAAACUGUAAGAGACCUUCCAAACUCGCGGUUCCAUGCGCCUGUCUGUUAGCACGUGGUCCGUUAAAUCUGAUAAUAGACUAAGCUUGUAGAAAGUUAAGUGGUCGGUGUUUUCGGACGGGGGUUCGACUCCCCCCAUCUCCACCA
This 347-nucleotide transfer-messenger RNA is filed under the name Bacillota bacterium. It matches the Rfam family "transfer-messenger RNA". From Rfam's summary of the family: Bacterial tmRNA, also known as 10Sa RNA or SsrA, is named for its dual tRNA and mRNA-like properties. Its role is to liberate the mRNA from a stalled ribosome. To accomplish this part of the tmRNA is used as a reading frame that ends in a translation stop signal. Lineage: Bacteria; Bacillati; Bacillota. RNAcentral also lists the same sequence under 1 other name. The record is from RNAcentral.